Molecule: ribosomal RNA, 253 nt
Filed under: uncultured bacterium
Lineage: Bacteria
Description: partial 16S ribosomal RNA
Rfam family: Bacterial small subunit ribosomal RNA
Source: RNAcentral
UACGUAGGGGGCAAGCGUUGUCCGGAUUUAUUGGGCGUAAAGAGCGUGUAGGCGGCUUUACAGGUCCGUUGUGAAAACUCGAGGCUCAACCUCGAGACGCCGGUGGAAACCGUAAAGCUAGAGUCCGGAAGAGGAGAGUGGAAUUCCUGGUGUAGCGGUGAAAUGCGCAGAUAUCAGGAAGAACACCAAUUGCGAAGGCAGCUCGCUGGAACGUAACUGACGCUGAGACGCGAAAGCGUGGGGAGCAAACAGG